Molecule: transfer RNA, 98 nt
Filed under: Actinotalea fermentans
Lineage: Bacteria; Bacillati; Actinomycetota; Actinomycetes; Micrococcales; Cellulomonadaceae
Description: tRNA-Pro
Source: RNAcentral
CGCGGUCCGGGUGCCGCGGGCAGACGGGCGGGCCGUCGGCCGGCCCGCCCGGACGAGCAGAGCCCUCGGCCCGGUCGAUCGGGUCGACCGGGCCGAGG